CAUACUUACGGGAGGCAGCAGUCGAGAAUCAUUCACAAUGGGGGAAACCCUGAUGGUGCGACGCCGCGUGGGGGAAUGAAGGUCUUCGGAUUGUAAACCCCUGUCAUGUGGGAGCAAAUUAAAAAGAUAGUACCACAAGAGGAAGAGACGGCUAACUCUGUGCCAGCAGCCGCGGUAAUACAGAGGUCUCAAGCGUUGUUCGGAAUCACUGGGCGUAAAGCGUGCGUAGGCUGCUUCGUAAGUCGUGUGUGAAGGGCGCGG
RNAcentral lists this ribosomal RNA (261 nucleotides) under uncultured bacterium. RNAcentral describes it as "partial 16S ribosomal RNA". It matches the Rfam family "Bacterial small subunit ribosomal RNA", at positions 334 to 606 of the family's 1533-position model. The record is from RNAcentral.